ACAGGAGAGUCUGGCAACCCCAAAAUCAAUAGCCAGCAGCAGAGUGAUCUUCAGGGACGUGAUAACGCGUCUAAUUUUCUCUUCUCAGAUACUCACACACUGGGCUUCAAAAGCAACAAAAGAUGUGUGGUGGAUUUACUUGCUCUAAAAACUCACUGGUGGCUCUCAACAUUCUCUAUGUUGUAGUGGCCUUCAUCUUAAUUGGUGUUGCUGCAGCAGCAAAAGCAACAUCAUUCGUCACCUCCCUCUCUCUUGUGUCUGUCAUCAUCGCCUGCGGAGUCUUCCUGCUCCUCAUAUCCAUAGUGGGUCUUGUCGGUGCCAGCAAACAUCAUCAGGUUAUGCUCUUCUUCUACAUGAUUGUUUUGUUCAUCAUAUUCAUCAUUCAGUUUUCUGUGGCUUGUGCUUGCUUAGCCAUGAAUGGAAACCAGCAGUUGUUGUUUGCUCAACAGGGUUGGCAAAUUGCCGACACGUCGACAAGAAAGGAUGCACAAAAUUUCUUUGGCUGCUGUGGAUACGAUUUUAAAGAAGGAAAUAAAACCAAACACCUAGACCAUCCCUCAUGUGAAAAGGUGACAAACAAGGAAAGUCAGUUAUGUUGUCCAGAUGAAGAGUAUCGACACUGUUGCAGUAAUAUCACCACCGCCAGUGACACGCCUUGCCCCUGUCAGACAUGUGAUAAGCCAAUUCAGAAGGCCUUGGAGAAAGAUUUUAACGUGGUUGGCGGUAUUGGUUUAUUCUUCUCAUUUACUGAAUUCCUUGGUGUGUGGCUGACAGUGCGGUACAGGAACCAGAGGGACCCACGUGCUAACCCAUCAGCCUUCCUGUAGAGUGGUGGGGUGCCCUAAGCCCUCGCACACCCUCACACACUAACAUAUCAGCUUGUAGGUUUCUUCAUUGCUAAACGUUAUCGUCAUCAAGUAGACCCAAGAGCAAACAUUCAAAGCCUGCUUCGACAGUGAGAAUCACCAGUUUGAGAAAUGUCCACAUCGUUUGAAUACACGACGUUAAGAUGACCGCGAUGAGAUGCCGUUUUUGCUGUUUUCUUGUCUUGAGUUGUAUCAGUAGUAUGGAAUUAUCUUCCAGUGUUCAUUAUUGUAACACUUUAAGUUGGGCUAAAGUGUGACAAAAGGGUAAUAUUUGAGAUUGAUUCCCCUUUGUCACAUUAUAAUGUCCUAAGUUUUCUGAUGGUAAGUGUCUGUGUGCUUAUUCUUAACUUCAUUUUAUAGAGUGCAAUGAUAGCUAUCCCACUGGUGGAUUAUAUUAAUGUUUCUUUCUGCAGUGGUUACCCCAUUAGAGGGGAGAUCUAAUGGCAUAAGGUGUUACAGAUAAGAUAGGAAGUUUAGCUUAUUGUAGCAAAGUUCAUUUUAUAGAAAUUAGAAAAUGGAAGUAUAGUACGGUAAACCCUAUAAGAUCCGGACCGGGGAAAUCCGGAUUUCGGAAGAUCUGGACAAAAAAAUUGGGGGUGCUGGGCUAAGAAGCCUCCUAGAAGUUUUCCUAAGAAGCUUUCCCAAACCAGAGCAAAGAACACUUUAGGCCCGUGGGCGCUGCUUGACCAGUCGGUUGCUUGGACACAGGUGCCCGAGGAGGUGGGAAACAUAAACCUAGUGGACAAUUGUUGGUUGUGGUUUAUACAGUAUUGUAUAUGGUAAUUUGUUUAUCACUACUGUAUUUUUGGCGUUUCUUAUAUCAUUUAUUAUUCGGCGAAAAAUCCGGACAAUCGGCUUUUGCGGACAGGUGGCCCCCCCUUUUAGUCGGGAUCUUCGAGGGUUGACUGUACUGUAUUAAUAGCCUUUCUUGACAUCCUCUCUGUCUCGUGUAGAUUAACAACUUGUACUAUGCCAUACGGUAGUAUUUACAGUGGUCCCUCGAUUAACGAACGGUUCGAUUAAUGAAAUUUCAGUUAACGAAUUGGCUCCCAAAAGGAUUUUCAGUUCCAUUAACGAACAAAACUUCGAUUAACGACAGCCUUACGAGAA
This 1976-nucleotide unclassified non-coding RNA is filed under the name Homarus americanus (American lobster). Its description in RNAcentral is "tetraspanin-13-like, transcript variant X2". The record is from RNAcentral. Lineage: Eukaryota; Metazoa; Arthropoda; Malacostraca; Decapoda; Nephropidae.